CCUACGGGAGGCAGCAGUGGGGAAUAUUGGGCAAUGGGCGCAAGCCUGACCCAGCAACGCCGCGUGAAGGAAGAAGGCUUUCGGGUUGUAAACUUCUUUUCUCAGGGACGAAGCAAGUGACGGUACCUGAGGAAUAAGCCACGGCUAACUACGUGCCAGCAUCCGCGGGAAUACGUAGGUGGCAAGCGUUAUCCGGAUUUACUGGGUGUAAAGGGCGUGUAGGAGGGAAAGCAAGUCAGAUGUGAAAACCAUGGGCUCAACCUGUGGCCUGCAUUUGAAACUGUUUUUCUUGAGUACUGGAGAGGCAGACGGAAUUCCUAGUGUAGCGGUGAAAUGCGUAGAUAUUAGGAGGAACACCAGUGGCGAAGGCGGUCUGCUGGACAGCAACUGACGCUGAGGCGCGAAAGCGUGGGGAGCAAACAGGAUUAGAUACCCCAGUAGUC
RNAcentral lists this ribosomal RNA (443 nucleotides) under uncultured bacterium. RNAcentral's name for it is "partial 16S ribosomal RNA". It matches the Rfam family "Bacterial small subunit ribosomal RNA", at positions 338 to 795 of the family's 1533-position model. The record is from RNAcentral.